CCAGUAACGGCGAGUGAAGCGGCAACAGCUCAAAUUUGAAAUCUGGCUCCUUUGGGGUCCGAGUUGUAAUUUGCAGAGGGUGCUUUUGGUGUCGGCCGUGGUCUAAGUUCCUUGGAACAGGACGUCACAGAGGGUGAGAAUCCCGUACGUGGCCGCCGGCCUUCGCCUUGUAAAGCCCCUUCGACGAGUCGAGUUGUUUGGGAAUGCAGCUCUAAAUGGGAGGUAAAUUUCUUCUAAAGCUAAAUACCCGCCAGAGACCGAUAGCGCACAAGUAGAGUGAUCGAAAGAUGAAAAGCACUUUGGAAAGAGAGUGAAAAAGCACGUGAAAUUGUUGAAAGGGAAGCGCUUGCGGCCAGACGUGCUCGCGGUUGUUCAUCUGGGCUCUCGCCCGGUGCACUCUUCCGCGAGCAGGCCAGCAUCAGUUCGGGGCGGCUGGAUAAAGGUUCCUGUCAUGUACCACCCCUCGGGGCGGCCUUAUAGGGGGAACGCAACACAGCCAGCCUGGACUGAGGUUCCGCGCAUCUGCUAGGAUGCUGGCGUAAUGGCAGCAAGCGGCCCGUCUUGAAACACGGACCAAGGAGUCUAACAUCUAUGCGAGUGUUUGGGUGUCAAGCCCGAGCGCGUAAUGAAAGUGAACGGAGGUGGGAACCCCUCGGGGCGCACCAUCGACCGAUCCUGAUGUCUUCGGAUGGAUUUGAGUAAGAGCAUAGCUGUUGGGACCCGAAAGAUGGUGAACUAUGCCUGAAUAGGGUGAAGCCAGAGGAAACUCUGGUGGAGGCUCGCAGCGGUUCUGACGUGCAAAUCGAUCGUCAAAUUUGGGCAUAGGGGCGAAAGAC
This 836-nucleotide ribosomal RNA is filed under the name Rutola graminis. Its description in RNAcentral is "partial large subunit ribosomal RNA". It matches the Rfam family "Eukaryotic large subunit ribosomal RNA", at positions 80 to 931 of the family's 3401-position model. The record is from RNAcentral. Lineage: Eukaryota; Fungi; Ascomycota.